This 445-nucleotide ribosomal RNA is filed under the name uncultured bacterium. Its description in RNAcentral is "bacterial SSU rRNA". It matches the Rfam family "Bacterial small subunit ribosomal RNA", at positions 354 to 796 of the family's 1533-position model. The record is from RNAcentral.
GUAAGGAAUAUUGGACAAUGGACGCAAGUCUGAUCCAGCCAUGCCGCGUGAAGGAUUAAGGUCCUCUGGAUUGUAAACUUCUUUUAUAAGGGACGAAAAAAGGCUUUUCUAAGUCGUCUGACGGUACCUUAUGAAUAAGCACCGGCUAACUCCGUGCCAGCAGCCGCGGUAAUACGGAGGGUGCAAGCGUUAUCCGGAUUCACUGGGUUUAAAGGGUGCGUAGGCGGGCAGGUAAGUCAGUGGUGAAAUCCUAGAGCUUAACUCUAGAACUCCCAUUGAUACUAUCUGUCUUGAAUAUUGUGGAGGUAAGCGGAAUAUGUCAUGUAGCGGUGAAAUGCUUAGAUAUGACAUAGAACACCUAUUGCGAAGGCAGCUUACUACGCAUAUAUUGACGCUGAGGCACGAAAGCGUGGGGAUCAAACAGGAUUAGAUACCCUAGUAGUCC